GCAAACUUGGUCAUUUAGAGGAAGUACAAGUCGUAACAAGGUUUCCGUAGGUGAACCUGCGGAAGGAUCAUUAACGAAUCUGCCUUGGGGUUGCAUUUGUGUGUGACCUCAACAUUGGUGCUCUCUGGGUGACCGGAGGUGCAUAUAUACAUGUGUAUUAUCGUGAUUUUGUAUGUUGUAUAUUUCGACGUCAUGUCGAUGCUAAUUAUAAAACACUUUUAACAAUGGAUCUCUUGGCUCUUGCAUCGAUGAAGAACGCAGC
Molecule: unclassified non-coding RNA, 262 nt
Filed under: uncultured fungus
Lineage: Eukaryota; Fungi
Description: partial contains small subunit ribosomal RNA, internal transcribed spacer 1, and 5.8S ribosomal RNA
Rfam family: Eukaryotic small subunit ribosomal RNA (bases 1-73)
Source: RNAcentral